This 510-nucleotide ribosomal RNA is filed under the name uncultured bacterium. Its description in RNAcentral is "bacterial SSU rRNA". It matches the Rfam family "Bacterial small subunit ribosomal RNA", at positions 10 to 518 of the family's 1533-position model. The record is from RNAcentral.
AGUUUGAUUAUGGCUCAGGAUGAACGCUGGCGGCGUGCCUAACACAUGCAAGUCGAACGGAGAUAUAUCUGACGGAGACUUCGGUCAAUGAAAUAUAUAUCUUAGUGGCGGACGGGUGAGUAACGCGUGGGGAACCUGCCCUGUACUGGGGGAUAACAGUGAGAAAUCACUGCUAAAACCGCAUAAGCGCACACUGGCGCAUGCCAGAGUGUGAAAAACUCCGGUGGUACAGGAUGGACCCGCGUUGGAUUAGCCAGUUGGCGGGGUAACGGCCCACCAAAGCGACGAUCCAUAGCCGGCCUGAGAGGGUGAACGGCCACAUUGGGACUGAGACACGGCCCAGACUCCUACGGGAGGCAGCAGUGGGGAAUAUUGCACAAUGGGGGAAACCCUGAUGCAGCCGACGCCGCGUGAAGGAAGAAGUAUCUCGGUAUGUAAACUUCUAUCAGCAGGGAAGAUGAUGACGGUACCUGACUAAGAAGCCCCGGCUAACUACGUGCCAGCCGCAGC